GUGGGGAAUCUUGCGCAAUGGGCGAAAGCCUGACGCAGCCAUGCCGCGUGAAUGAUGAAGGUCUUAGGAUUGUAAAAUUCUUUCACCGGGGACGAUAAUGACGGUACCCGGAGAAGAAGCCCCGGCUAACUUCGUGCCAGCAGCCGCUGUAAUACGAAGGGGGCUAGCGUUGCUCGGAAUUACUGGGCGUAAAGGGCGCGUAGGCGGACAGUUUAGUCAGAGGUGAAAGCCCAGGGCUCAACCUUGGAAUUGCCUUUGAUACUGGCUGUCUUGAGUACGGGAGAGGUGAGUGGAACUCCGAGUGUAGAGGUGAAAUUCGUAGAUAUUCGGAAGAACACCAGUGGCGAAGGCGACUCACUGGCCCGUUACUGACGCUGAGGCGCGAAAGCGUGGGGAGCAAACAGGAUUAGAUACCCCAGUAGUCC
Molecule: ribosomal RNA, 425 nt
Filed under: uncultured bacterium
Lineage: Bacteria
Description: partial 16S ribosomal RNA
Rfam family: Bacterial small subunit ribosomal RNA
Source: RNAcentral